AAUGAACGCUGGCGGCAGGCCUAACACAUGCAAGUCGAACGGAUCCUUCGGGAUUAGUGGCGGACGGGUGAGUAACGCGUGGGAACAUACCCAAAGGUACGGAAUAGCCUCGGGAAACUGGGAGUAAUACCGUAUGUGCUCGAAAGAGGACAGAUUUAUCGCCUUUGGAUUGGCCCGCGUUGGAAUAGGUAGUUGGUGGGGUAAUGGACUACCAAGCCGACGAUCCAUAGCUGGUUUGAGAGGAUGAUCAGCCACACUGGGACUGAGACACGGCCCAGACUCCUACGGGAGGCAGCAGUGGGGAAUCUUAGACAAUGGGGGAAACCCUGAUCUAGCCAUGCCGCGUGAUCGAUGAAGGCCUUAGGGUUGUAAAGAUCUUUCAGGUGGGAAGAUAAUGACUGUACCACCAGAAGAAGCCCCGGCUAACUCCGUGCCAGCAGCCGCAGUAA
Molecule: ribosomal RNA, 449 nt
Filed under: uncultured bacterium
Lineage: Bacteria
Description: partial 16S ribosomal RNA
Rfam family: Bacterial small subunit ribosomal RNA
Source: RNAcentral